UGCCAGCCGCCGCGGUAAUACAGAGGGUGCAAACGUUGCUCGGAAUUAUUGGGCGUAAAGCGCGUGUAGGCGGCUAUUUAGGUCGGCUGUGAAAGCCCUCAGCUCAACUGGGGAAGUGCAGCCGAAACCGGAUAGCUUGAGUCCUGAAGAGGGUGGCGGAAUGCCCAGUGUAGGGGUGAAAUCCGCAGAUAUUGGGUAGAACACCGGUGGCGAAGGCGGCCACCUGGGAAGGUACUGACGCUGAGACGCGAAAGCGUGGGGAGCAAACAGGAUUAGAUA
RNAcentral lists this ribosomal RNA (279 nucleotides) under uncultured bacterium. RNAcentral describes it as "partial 16S ribosomal RNA". It matches the Rfam family "Bacterial small subunit ribosomal RNA", at positions 506 to 784 of the family's 1533-position model. The record is from RNAcentral.